GCAGAGUAGGAAAAUGUGUGUCCAGUGCCGCCGGGACGGGGAGUUGUCCGGCGGACGAAAUGGCGGUUCGCCGUCUGCAGUGCAUUUUCCGCAUCCCGCUGC
Molecule: non-coding RNA, 102 nt
Filed under: human gut metagenome
Description: THF riboswitch
Rfam family: THF (Tetrahydrofolate) riboswitch aptamer
About the family: THF riboswitch presents a pseudoknot that joins P1-P2 and the loop of P3 and two THF binding.
Source: RNAcentral